ACCUACGGGAGGCAGCAGUAGGGAAUUUUCGUCAAUGGGCGCAAGCCUGAACGAGCAAUGCCGCGUGAACGAGGAAGGUCUUCGGAUCGUAAAGUUCUGUUGAAGGGGAAAAAGAGCGGAGAGAGGAAAUGGUCUCCGAUUGAUAUUACCCUUCGAGGAAGUCACGGCUAACUACGUGUCAGCAGCCGCGGUAAUACGUAGGUGGCGAGCGUUAUCCGGAAUGAUUGGGCGUAAAGGGUGCGUAGGCGGCCUGCUAAGUCUGGAGUGAACGGUACCGGCUCAACCGGUACAGGCUCUGGAAACUG
Molecule: ribosomal RNA, 305 nt
Filed under: uncultured bacterium
Lineage: Bacteria
Description: bacterial SSU rRNA
Rfam family: Bacterial small subunit ribosomal RNA
Source: RNAcentral